CAUGAUUGCAACGACGGUGUAUGAGAGGCCGCAGUCGCCAAGCUUCGCUUUCUUCAUAAAAGUAUCGAGACCGGUAACGUUGAAUUCACCAUUCCCGUCGAUUAGCUGAGUCGCACAACGGCACAGCCACACAAGCCUCUUUGGAAGAUUUCCUUUGAGAGAAGACUUGAAGACUUGGCUUAUGCCUGGCCGCGACAGCUAGUUGGUGAUUUUCUAUUGGCACUUUCUUGGGUUUUUUUCUUGUUUACUCAUGGCACAACUAUCUUCUUUUCCCAUAACUAAGAUUCUAAUACUGAUUAUGUUAUGUGUAUACAGUAUAUUGCCCCUCUGCUCUGCUCGACUGCUCUGAAUUCCGAUUUAUUGGGUCCUGGAGGCUGGAGGUAAAAUUAUAUUCCCUUUAUAUGUGAUCAGAUUUAUCAUUUAUGGGUUUUUGUUUCCUUUUUGUUUUGGGGUUAAUAUAUAUGAUUAAUGAUAUAAUGAUACUCUGGUAAAGUUUCUGUCUUUGGGUUUAGAGAAAUAAUAUUUUUGAUUGAUAGAUUGAUUCGUCUUGUUUAAACAACUCUACGUGUUUUUACAGUCACGAUAGAAAGAGCAUUUUCAGCUAUAAAAUAUGUUAAAAUUGCUCUUCGCAAUAAAAUGAAAGAGGAGUUUUUAGCAGAUUCUAUAAUGAUUUACAUUGAACGAGAACUUCUUGAAGAUAUCGAUUCAGAUUCCAUAAUAGACGAAUUCUAUUCUACAAAGCAUAGAAGGAUGCAACUUAAAUAGUGUGUUUUAUUUUCUUUUUUUCUUGUAUGUUAUGUACCUUUGAACCUUACUACUAUGUAUGAUUUUGAAUUUGUGAUUGAUCUUGGUGAGACAAUUUUUUGGUAGCCCAGUAAAAAAUUAAUUUCUAACUCCACCCUUGUUUAUGUUACCUUUGUUAUGUGAUAG
Molecule: long non-coding RNA, 930 nt
Filed under: Panax ginseng (ginseng)
Lineage: Eukaryota; Viridiplantae; Streptophyta; Magnoliopsida; Apiales; Araliaceae
Description: long non-coding RNA (PGIN_LNC008529)
Source: RNAcentral